CUUAUUCUCUCAUGAUAUAUUUGUCUAUAAAGCAUUGUCUCUUUCACUGUAUCACAUAUUUGUUUGAUUGUCAAUCAUAACUCAGUUUAUUAUUCAUCUAUUCAUUAUGAAUCAUGUCAUUCAAUAACUACUAUAAAUUAUUUAGCAAACACAGCUAAACAAAUUGAAUACAUAGUUAUACAUAUAGCACCGUAUGUAUUGUAACUCCAUAUACCGGUACUUCGGUACCAAGACGGUACUAAAAAGAAAAAAAAGUUGACGGUACCAGAUUUUCAUAAGUACCGAUAUUACCGGGUCAACCCGGUACUGACGCGCUGCCUGACAGGUAGUCAGUCGGGAACAUUUCAUGUGUGCACCGUACAACAAGAAGACAUUGGAGCCAAAGCAGCAGCAGCUCCGCCGGUCGCCAUGGCUGCGUCCGAAACCGCAUACUUACCUACUAUAUAGUAUGUGAAAUACAUGUAUUUCUCUCGGACGCUCGUUUUCCGCUUUUGGUGUAAAAGCCACACCCCUAAAAUUUAUGUGCGGAUAGAUUAAACGUGCUUUCAGGAAGAGCGGCUGCUUAACCGCAGUAUUCAUUCGAGCAGUUCAAGCAGGACACUGAGGAUUCUUUGAAAGAGCAAACAAAGCACUAUGGAAGCUCUGAGGAAUUGCAGCAGGACUGAAGACUACUCAUCCAUCAACUAGUCUUUAAACAUUCUAUUAUUACUGUCUAUCUUUUAGACUUUAUUUUUACUUUAAAAAAAAAAAAAAAAUUCAGUUGCAGUUUGACCUUUUAGAAGUCCUGGGUCAUGUUUAGUAAUUUACAUAAAAGCCAAUGCCUAAUACACUAGUACAUGAAGUGAUAUCCUGUUAAUAUAAAAUAUUUGCAUAAAGGGAAAUUUCUCAUUAUGAGAUUAUUCUAAAAUCAUAUAUAAAAAUAUUAAGUAAGACUAUGUUAUUAAUUUCAAGCUUAAAAUUGGUUUGUUCUACUGGCAGAUAAUUUUGCUUCUUUCUAGAAUUAAAUGCUUCAAAUAAACAACAUUAUCUGUAUGAAUUUCAGCACAUAAAAAUCCAUGAGAAAUCAGCAUGCUAUGGUUUCACCUGACCAGGCUUUCCAGUAGCUUGCUAUACAGAAGCUUUUGCUGGAAACUCUAAUGUUGCUGUGUGGCUAUUGUGGUUAACAUAAUCAUGAUUGUAAUAUAUGUGAAAGGUUCUGCUGAGACAGUUUUUUUCCCCCUGUAAACAGGGUAUUUCUGGUCUGGAAAAACAUGUACUAUGCCAAGAUUGACACCAAUAGGCAGCUCAAAAUAUGGUAGGGAAAGUGUCUUUUAAAGUAGCCUUUUCAUGCUUAUUUUAUAGGGUCUGAUAGUAAUUUAUAAAUAUGUACAAUAUUUCUCUGUUGGUUCCUUUUUUGUUUUUUGUUUGUUUGUUUUGAGCAAUAUUUGUGUUAAUCUGUAUUGUUGUAUUAACCGCUGACUAUUUCAUAACAACUAUUUUAUAACAACAUUCUGAUGUUAUAAAUUUAGUAUAAACACUUCUACUCCUGUCUAGAUACAAUAUAGGUAAAUAUAUAUAGAUUGAGCUGAACAUUUAUUUGCUCAUUAUCAGUACUGAAUACAGAAAGAAGUUCUGUGAUCCUCAGGCAGGGGUUGAGUUAAUAUAUACUUGUCUCAAAUGUCAUGAACUAUUUUGACAGAUUCUCGUUUGCAUCACUGGCUCAUGUAUGAGUAGCCCAACUCUAGUAUCACACAUUACUACUGAAGGCUCAUAGAGUUAAAGAGAUACUAGGAUGCAGUGAUUCCUGAGAUGGACUCCAACCUAGAUAUCAUUGAUUUGUCUUGCACACAAAUUUCUUUGUUUUACACUGAAUAAAAUGCUGUCAGUAAUUUGGGGUUGUUCUCUUGCUCUUUUGGAGUGGUUUAUUUUCCAAUAACAGCACGUAAUAAUAGUGUUUUAUUUCUCUUAAAUCACAGCAAUUUGCC
Molecule: RNA transcript, 1964 nt
Organism: Ictalurus punctatus (channel catfish)
Lineage: Eukaryota; Metazoa; Chordata; Actinopteri; Siluriformes; Ictaluridae
Exons: 2
Source: RefSeq, a predicted model, not a curated record